This 236-nucleotide ribosomal RNA is filed under the name uncultured bacterium. RNAcentral's name for it is "partial 16S ribosomal RNA". It matches the Rfam family "Bacterial small subunit ribosomal RNA", at positions 122 to 353 of the family's 1533-position model. The record is from RNAcentral.
UAACCUGCCUUAUAGUGGGGGAGUAGCCUUUCGAAAGGAAGAUUAAUACCGCAUAAGAUUGUAGUAUCGCAUGAUAUAGCAAUUAAAGGAGCAAUCCGCUAUAAGAUGGACCCGCGUCGCAUUAGCUAGUUGGUGAGGUGAUGGCUCACCAAGGCGACGAUGCGUAGCCGACCUGAGAGGGUGAUCGGCCACAUUGGGACUGAGACACGGCCCAGACUCCUACGGGAGGCAGCAUG